This 433-nucleotide ribosomal RNA is filed under the name uncultured bacterium. RNAcentral describes it as "partial 16S ribosomal RNA". It matches the Rfam family "Bacterial small subunit ribosomal RNA", at positions 29 to 507 of the family's 1533-position model. The record is from RNAcentral.
AAUGAGCGCUGGCGGCAUGCCUAACACAUGCAAGUCGAACGAAGGCUUCGGCCUUAGUGGCGCACGGGUGCGUAACGCGUGGGAAUCUGCCCUUGGGUUCGGAAUAACAGUUAGAAAUGACUGCUAAUACCGGAUGAUGUCGUAAGACCAAAGAUUUAUCGCCCAAGGAUGAGCCCGCGUAGGAUUAGCUAGUUGGUGGGGUAAAGGCCUACCAAGGCGACGAUCCUUAGCUGGUCUGAGAGGAUGAUCAGCCACACUGGGACUGAGACACGGCCCAGACUCCUACGGGAGGCAGCAGUGGGGAAUAUUGGACAAUGGGCGAAAGCCUGAUCCAGCAAUGCCGCGUGAGUGAUGAAGGCCUUAGGGUUGUAAAGCUCUUUUACCCGGGAUGAUAAUGACAGUACCGGGAGAAUAAGCUCCGGCUAACUUCGUG